CAUUUUCCAAUGGAAUAAAAUUUUGAUUUACACAAAACACUAACAAUGAAUCUGAUCACAAGAAAACAAUAUUAGAAUCAAUUACUUGUCAAGAAUCAAAUUGCAUGUUAUAUACCUAUCAUGUAUCUAUGGAAUUAGUUUAUCCUAAUCAAAAAGAAAAAGGCUAUUUACACAAAUAGUUAGUCCAAAUAAACCCUUCAAUCAUCUGCAACCGCCAGGUUGUACUUUCUUGCCAAAGUAUGGGCAGUUUUGUCAUCCAUAAUGCCAUCAAUCAUCCUAAACUUUUUGUAAUGCACUUUAAGAGUUUCAGCCUGCUGGGCUGCCAACUUCUCUUCUUCUUUUAGCAGCACCUAAAAAAAUGCACUUAGAAUAACUUAACACAGAAUCUCUCAUAGAAUACAUCAACAAACAUAAUUUUAAUCAGUGGCAGUACAUGAGUUAAUAUAAAGUGUUGCUAAAUAGUGGCUUUAGCUACAAUAUAGCACUAUAGGGCAGUGGAAUUUGAAUAAACCGUUAUAAUCUGCGAUCCGGAUUGACUACAAUGCUUUUAAUGAUUUAACAAGUCAGUUUGGCACCACAGAGGUGACUAGAUGAUCUUCCAUACAAAUUAAAAUAAGAGUGUGUGUAAUCUACUACGAAGCAAUACCAUUUAGAGUUCAAACAUAUAUACUAUCAACUGUUAAAAAAUAUGAAAAAAGUGAGUUCUUCAGCCAGAAGAAGUAAAAGGAUGCAUUUUGAUUUCAGUUUUUGCAUCAGUAAUAUACAAUUUUUUUUUAGGGAGAGGGUUUUUUUUUACUUCAACUCUCCCAAAACAAACACAUUUUAAACAUGAGUGCUUCCUUCCAGUAAUUUCCUCUCACAGAACAAUGUCAGGGUAUGGAUUAUACAGAGCAAACUGGCUUCACAUGACAUAUGGUAGUGAUAAAACAAAUCAACCGAUGUAACAACCAGUUUCUUGAAAAUAAAUAAAAUAAAUUAUCACAAUCCUGUAUUAACAAAUCAACCGAUGAUCCAAACAGUUUUUUGAGUUCCACCUCCUCGUAGAAUUUGAAAUCCAUAGUUUCUGAUAUUUUUGAUAUGAAAAGACCAUUUUUUUUCCAUCUCGACAUUUUGCCUAUUUAAAAUGGAUACAAAGUCAAAAGAAUAACAAAGUGUAUAUGGUGAAUUAAAUUAAAAAGAAUUACAAGCGCAACAAGUCUCCGCGUCCACACAUCCAAACGUGGGGCCUGCAACUGGACCAUGCAUCAACUUUGUGGAAGUGGAACAAACAGCCACAUCCUUCUGGUUGUGCGAGAGGGUGGUCAUGAAUGAGAAAGGUUUCAGGUCAGAUGUAAGCAGACAGAAACACGAUUGCAAUAUGUAUCAAAAAAGGCAUGCGCUUUUCAACAUAAAACACUGUAUGUUAUCAUUGUUUUUACUAUUCAAAUGGAAAUUUUCUAUAAACAGAUUGGUGAAUGUUGUGCACCUGGCUACAAUAACAUCUCAUCUCAGCUGCCAAUCAGGAAAUUGUCACAUAAGGAAUGUGAGAAAUUGUAUGCCAACGCUCGCCUUGCUCCGUUUGGUACAACUGCUUAAUUAAUGGACAAUCAUGAAUUGACAAAGUAGAAAGGGAGCUGGGUAGACCCUCCUCUGGCAAGCUCUCAAGACAAGGGCAAUCUUCAAUAUAUAGAGAUUUGAGUGAAGUGAGGUGGAGAAGACCCUUGCAGUUUAUUUUUCUUAGGUUGGGACAAUUUGUCAACUCAAAAGAGUUAAUACUUGAUGGCAGCAUACUCUCCUCUGGAAAGGAUUCCAAGAUUUCAAAAUCAUCACUAAGACUGAAUUGUUUCAGAGAUUUGAGUUGGAACAAACCCCACUCCUCUAUUGUAGCCAUCAAAUUACGGCAUCUUUCUAUUCGGAGGCUGCUUAGGUUGGAAGGCAACUGCCUCUCAAAAAACGAUUCCAGCCACGGACAAUUGUACAACACGAGAGAAUUAAGAUUGGUGAACAAAUGUAGUGCAAAAGGAAAGGAAGAAGAGUGCCAACCUGUUAUAGUUAAAGUGCGAAGGGAAUUACAGCUACACAUAUUCAAAGAGGACCAUUCUAGAUUUGGACCAAAGAAGUCUUCAACUUCCAGUUCUUCAAGAAAGGCACUGCUAACUAGAAUUUUCUCUAGGGUGGUUUCAAUGACAUGAGUUCCACAAAGGAUGGCCCUUUCCAAGCUUGAUGGCAAUUUAUUUAUAAAAAUGCCAUCACAUCUCUUUAGCUCUAUAUCACUGAUAUUAGCAGCAUUAGGAAUUGAAGCCUCCAACUCUUGGCAAUCAAUAAUCUCCAAUUUUAGCAAAGAAGGGAGGUGAUAAGGCAGGGUACUUUUCAAUUUGGGACAAUGAUUUAGAGAAAGCUCUUUAACUAAAGGGAAACCAUCAAGACAUAACCAUUCCUUCCAUUCAGACAUGUUCUUGAAACACAAAGUUUCAAGGGAUCUAAAUGGAACAUUUGCUGAAUUAUAGCGGCAAAACUCUGAACCAAUGAUCUCUACUCCAUGACAGCCUGAAAUGGAAAGCUUCUUGAGAGAAGGGAACUGCCCAAGUGGUGGCAACUGGGAACAGUGUGUACAUCCCAACAAUUCAAGAGAUAAUAAAUUGGCUAGAUGAUGAUGAUCCCCAAGCCAAUUAGGAAAGCUACUACCUCUGUAGUCAUUGAUGCUGAGCCUCGUGAGAUUUCUAUUUGGUCGCAGAGCCUCCAAGACCGAGAAACAUGCUUCAGUUACUGAGCCAUCCAUUUCUCUCCAUUCAUCAUACGACAAACUUAAUUCUUCUAAAUGUUUCUUAUGUUUCAAAUUUGCUGCCAUAGCAUCUGCUGGAUCAGCCACAUUUUUCAACCCUGAAAUUUGAAGCCUUCCUUUAAGGUGGUUGAGUUCUGCCAACUGCUUAAUAUCAAAUCCAUGUUGCUCUCCCACAACAAAAUCGGUCAGCAUCUCAAGGUUUAUUAACCCUCUCAUCUCCUUUGGCAUCUUCUUAAUAUGUGUGCCUUUCAAAUUAAGAUGACGUAAAUUGACGAGUUUGCAAAAAUUUGAUGGGAGCUCAGUCAAUUUAAAACAUUCUUCCAGUAAGAGGGUAUGCAAACUAUACAGCUUACAAAUGGAAUUAGGUAAGCUUGUAAUCUCUGUGUAAGAAAGGUCUAGAUAGCGCAGAAGCUUUAAAUUUCUUAUCUCAUCAGCUAGCUCUAAGAGAUUGCAACCCGAGAAAGACAACAUUCGCAAAUAUUUUAGUCUUAAAAACAAAUUAAGCUGCACAUCGGUGCGUACCUUAAAGCGUUGGUCACCAUAGCCUUGUGCUUCUACCAUCAGACUGUGUAGUCCCUUGAUUUUUUUAACAUUCUCUAGUUUUCUAUCACCAUCUUCCAAAUCAAGGCAGCACCAUACGUGACGUGUCCUUUUAGGUAUAUCUUUCAUGUUAUCACCCUCUAUUCGUAUUCGCAAUCGGAACUCUCCUGACACUGAUUUCGCUAAAUCAUUGACAAGAUCAUGCAUGAUAAAGUAGCACUUACCGGUCCAUAAUGGCAUCAAUACUGAUUGUUGGAAAAAUGACAUUGACACUAGUUGAUCGAAGAAUUCAUUCCCUAACUCUUCUUUGCUUUUGUUUCUUCCGCAACAAUUUAACAAACCUUCUGCCAUCCAAAGCCUGAUUAAUUCACCCUCCUCAAACUCAUAACCCUUGGGAAGAUUAGACCAACAAGCAAAACAACGCUUCAGAUUGGGAGGGAGGCUAAGGUAAUGCAUCCUCAGAGCAAAAUUAAUGCAGUUGUCACCCUCGGGUAAACACCACAAAUCAGUCUCCAAUAUCUCAACCCAUUCAGUUACAGAGAAUUUUCUUUGGAAGAGAAUCCCCAAUGUUUUCAGAGUUAAAGGCAACCCCCCACAUUUUGCUACUAUUUUCUUGCCAAUCAAUUCAAGAUUUGGAUAUUCAAACACAUUCUUGCCUUGAAAAGCAUAUCUCACAAAUAAACUCCAAGAGUCACUCUCCUCCAAUUGCUUUAAAUGAAGUAGUCGUGUGGAUCUCAUAACUAACGCUACCUCACUGUCAUGUGUUGUCACGAUCAUCUUACCUCGAGAAGAUCCACGGUUAAGAGGAAGUAGUAAAUGCUCCAGCAUAUUUCCAUUUUUUAUCCCGACAUCAUCUAGAACAAGCAAAUAUUUCUUCCCUGCUAGCUGCUGUUGCAAUUGACUGUUGAGUAUUUCCGUGCCUUCAUCACCUACUUCUGCUGAAGAAAUUGACCUGAGAAUUGAUUUGAUGAGAUGAUCAUAAUUAAAAGUUUCUGAAACAUGGACCCAAGCUUUAAAUUCAAACUGCUCCUGUAUCCUAUGGUCAUUGUAAACAAGCUGGGCAAGGGCUGUCUUACCAAUCCCCGUCAGACCCACUAUACUGAUUAUGGGUAGCUGGUUCUCACCGUGACUAUCUGAAAGUAAAAAAUCAAUCAUUUCCUCUUGCUCAUGCUCUCUACCAUAUAUGACAUAUUCAUGCCCCAAAGAUGCAGCUGAAAAUCUGCUGGCUCCACCUUCAUGAAGUCCCAAUCUUUCCGUUUGCUCUGCAAAACCUACGAGCCUCUUGAGCAAUACUUUAAUCCUAGAUUCAAACCGAUUGAUAGAACCUGAAAGAAAGCGUUGUAUCUUUCCCUUUUGAUUUGCAGAGUCACUAGCAAUGAUGUCCAACAGUUGAUCUAAUUCGUAUACCUCAUUACUCGCAUCAUCAACCCAAUUCUUCACGUUUUGAUUCUCGUACUUCUUUGUCUCUGCGUCAUCCAGCACUUGAUUGAUAGAAACCAGUGUGAUUUCAAGUUUUUUCCCCAGCUCUUCACGGACGUAGCCUCCGAAAUCUGUUGAAGAUAACCUCUCACAAAUCUCUUGGAUGAUAGGGGAAAGAAAUGCCAUGAUAUUGAACAAAAACAAAAUUAUCACAGAUGAGCGAGCGUGGUUUCUGGGAGGCUGGCUGACUUAUAUGCAAGAAGACCAGUUUCAUCAACCAAUCCGAUAACCAAAUGCUGUAGAAAUUUCACGCAGUUACACACUUCAGUGGAUGUCAAACGUAGAUUUCGAUUCUUCCUGGUUAAAAGAAAAAAAAUUAUUAAUUUUGAACAGAUUCUUUUUCAAUAUUUUUUUAAAAAACUUCUUGUUCAAUAUUAUAGUCUAAAGUGAAAUUCUAUAUUUCACAAAUAAACAAAACCAAGUUAGAUCUUAAAUAUGAAAGAGUACUUGAAUUUAGGUUGAGAAAUUAAAGGAUCGAUGAAGAAGUGCAAAAACAAAUUACAAUUUAAAAUUCAUCAAUUUUUUUAGUAGGAAUCAAAGUAUAACUAUAAAAUUAUUAUUUUAAUCUUAACUAUAAAAGCACAAGGGAAAGCCACCAAUUAAAGAUAUGAAGGCUUGAAUAUAUUAGAAGAUGGGAUGUAUAAUUCAGCUGUUACGACAUGAGCAAGUAAUCACAAGAAAACAUUCUAUAAAUAACAGGUUGAUAUAUAAUAAAAAUCUUAUAUCAAACUUUGAUAUAAAAAAUAAAAUCUUAAUGUUCAAUGAACAGAAGAAAAUGAAGAAACAUUUGGAAGAAAAUCUUACCUCUAGAAUUAAUGGUUGCUGUGGAGUUCAACAGUGACUGAACACGAGAGCAUGCAAGAUUAGGUUGGAUGCUUUUUUUUAGGCAAUAUUAAGUAGGAUGGCAAUCAGUCGCGGAGCCAGAAAAUUUAUUUAUGAGGCUGGGCGAAAAAUUAAUCGUGUGAUAUAAUGAGUUUUUCUGAUUACACCCAAAUUUUUUUUAAAAAAAAUUUAUAAUACUAAAAUUGCCAUUUUAUAUAAAUUUUCUUAAAACCCUAAUUUUAUUCAUUGUCAGUGAGUUUCACCCCACAAAGCUAUCGAUCAAACAAUUUGAUGUUCAAUAUCAAUCUCCAUGAAAAUUAAAGAGUGAAUCAAAAUAUUUUUCAUCCAUCCUCAAUUGGAUAUAAGUAAGUGAAUUUCUUCUUCUAUUUGCUAGUUUCAAUUUUUUUCCUUCAACUGCAAUGAUGCACUGUACGAUUACGGUUUUAAUUUACAUUGGCAAUGUUAACUUAAACUCAGUUUAAGUAGGUUCAUGUAAACUCAGUUUAAGUAGGUUCAUGUAAACUCAGUUUAAGUAGGUUCAUGUUAACUCAAUUUAAGUAGGUUAAUGUAAACUCAGUUAAAGUAGGUUCAUGUAAACUCAGUUAACAUGAACCUACUUAAACUGAGUUUACAUGAACCUACUUAAAUUGAGUUAACAUGAACCUACUUAAACUGAGUUUACAAAAUCGCAGAACUGUGAAUCGCAGAACAAGGAAAACACAAAAUCAGAACUAAGAACCCACAACAAGAAAAACACAAUCGAUUGAAGAACAACACUUGCUAACCUGAUUUGCUUCGAAUUUUCUUUGAAAUCAUGAAUGGACGUGAGAAAGUAUGGUUUUGAAAAUCUUCGUAGAACACAAUCGAUCGAUUGGAGAAUUAUGGUUUUGGAAGAACGGUUUUGGGGUGUAAUAAAAAAAGAAGGAAUAGGCUUUUUGAAAAUCAAAUUUUAGGAAAGGGUAAUCUUGUCAUUUUGGGGUGCAAGUAGAAAACUCUGACAUAAUAUAUAAACAGUCAUAAAUCGAUUUUUUUUUUAAUUUUUAUUAUUUUACCUAAAAAAAUCAAAAUAAAUGAAGUUUAUCAUUUUAUCAACAAAAGUACAAUUUAAAAUAGGGUUAUUAAUUGAAAUUAACCACGUAAUAUACGUGAAGUCUGAAAAUUGACCUUGUAAUUAAAUAACAUGUAUUCUGACCAUGUAAUUCGAGAUUUUUAUUUAUUAUUUAUAACCUGUAAUAUACGUGAAGUCCAAAAAAGCAACUGAGAGAUUGAAUUUUUUCAUGAUUUCCCAGCGGCGAGUUAAGAACGUUAAAAUAUGGCUUUAACAAAAAAAUUAUAAAUUUUCGACAAACGACAAAUUAAUUAUGAAUUUUUAAAGUGUCAAAAGCUCAAAAAAUAAAACAACAGAAAUCUCGAUCUAUAAAUCAAAUUUUGAGCUCAUUAUUUGUAAAGACAUCUAUAAAAAUACAUAAAAGGGAUUUGUAAAGUUUCAUAGCAUUUCGAAGUCGUUUAAAUUUAUUUUGAUUUUUCAACUGAAACGUGCAAAAUUGAAAUUUUGUUCCGCGUAAGCGUAUACUCACAAGUCAAAUUUAGUUCCCUAAUUUUGUAGGCAUGACUAGAACAUGAUAAGAAACAUUCACAAUGAAAUUUUGUAAAUUUUAAACGAGAUACAAAUUAAUUAUAAAUUGUUUAAGAAAUUCAUAAUUAUGAGGGAAUAAAAAUUCAUAAUUAAUUUAUCCCUGGUCGAAGAAAUUUAAUUUUAUGUAAAGCUAUAUUUUAACGUGCUAAACAUGUAAGAAAAAAAUAGUGAAAAAAUUCAACAUUUAGGUCACAUGUUUAGACUACACGUAUAUUAUAGGGUGGUCAAAAUUAAAUAAGAAGAAAUUCAAGUUGCAAUGUUAGAAUAUAUGUUUUGUAUUUUAUUGGGUCAUUUUUCAAACAUAAAGUAUAUUACAGAGUCAAUUUGAACAAUUAACCCGUUAAAAUAAGAUAGAUGAAACUGUCAAUAGUGUGCUAAAUAAAAUUCCAAGACCUAUUUACGUGUGACAAUUUUCAGAUUGCCCAAAUUUUUCUUUUUGUAAAUGUGUUAAUGGGCUUUUGGGUUGAGUCUAAUGUGCAAAAAUUAUCGAUCGAGUCCGGACGACCGCCCGGGAUCGCUACACGGUAGAACCGCCCAUGAUGUCAAUCAUAGUGCGUUGAUGCCCUUUUAAAUCAAAAAGAAAAAGGUUUAAACAAAUGUAAAAUUGCUCCCGACAAAAAAAAAAACACUCACUCUCAUACAAUCCGACUAAAACAGGCUCCCACGUGACUUAAGUAUGUACGUGUUAAAUUCAAAGUGACCUAAGUCACGUUCGCUAUAUUGGUACAUCUCACGUGAGUUAACUCACGUAGAUUAUAAUCUAACGUGAGUUAACUCAUGUAGAUUAUAUUUCAACUUACCGAACUUAAGUUAACUCACAUAAAAGGUAUUUUCGUUAGUUUGCAUGAGAGUUGACGUUUUUUGUUGGGAGAAGAGUAGUUUUCAAACAAGUGGUAGGAAGGAAGGUUCCACUUGGUCAACAAUCAACAUGACCCAAGAACAAGAAGGUUGUUACGAAACUACUUGCAUAGAGGUGGACCCAUGUGGUAUCAACUAGCUAGUUUCAUCCAGUCUGGGGAGUGGGUGAUGGUCCAGAUUGCCCGCUGUGUGGCUUCCCUAGAACCAGUCACCAGGCUAAGUGUGAGAUAAGGUGGAAAGAGGAAAGGGAGGUGUGAAUAGGGUAAUAGUCAAGGCUGAUUGUGAGAUGUGUGAUAAGGUGGCCUAUUUUGAAGAGACUCAUACACACAGCCAGCGGGCCUUCCAAUUCGAUCCAAUUGCUCAAACACACCUGGAAAAUACAAUUUUGCCCCCAACAGUAGCAUACUAUCGUCCGGCCUGUGCUGCAACGGUAGUUACCUAUCAUUGUCCCAGCGGUAGUUAGCCUGUCAGUUUUGCAGACAAUGCUUGCUGUAAAUUCAACCAAGCCAAAGUCUGGUUACAUAAGGGAUUUCAACCAAAAUGCGAAAAUGGAUCAGCAUACACAUACUCACUUGGAUUUCCACCAACAUCUUUAUGUAUUGCAAAAUGUGUUACAAAAUAUAACCAAGUUUGUUCAGCUUCUCAACAUUACAGAUCUCUUAGAAUAGAGAAAAGAUGGCUUCCAUGGAUAGUUGGAAUGAGAUUCUGUAUGGGUCAAUCAUGACUCAUGGGUUGGAAUUAAUUGAUCACCAUUCAACAAUGGUUUACAUGGAUGUUACAUUUUGCAUAGUCCAUGAGAAAACUUAGUUACCAAUAAUCUCAAAUACAAAUCAGUUUCAUCAAAACAAACGACUACACAAAAGGAGAUAUUAGGACAUGUUAUUUGAAAUAAUUCAAAAUCCCAUUAUUGAUGAAAUUAUAACCAAAAUAAAAUUCUACCUCCAUUAAGUUUGGAUAUUUUUGUAGCUUUUCAAAAUUGUUGUAAUUGGAACUUUGGAAGGUUUAAAUCUAUUAUGUUGUUCCUUAAUUUGGGAUAUGAUCAAGGUUUCAGAAGGAAAACACUUCCACUCAAAUUCAACCAUAUUUCAGAACGUGUGUAACAGAGUAAUGUAUAGAUUAAAAAUGUUGAUGUCAAACUAAGAAGUGAUGGUGUCUAAAAAAUUCAGCGAUAAAAAUUUAAGUGAAUAGAUUACCAUGCACAGAGAAAGGAUAAUCCAGAAAACUGUUCAUAAGGAUAGAAAAGUAACUCUACUUCAAUAAUUGCAUUUCGUGUGAGUCUUAUUUUUUGGCAAUUUGUAGUAUUUUCCAAUGGAAAAAAUAUUCGAUUUACACAAAACACUAACAAUGAAUCUGAUCACAAGAUAACAAUUUUAGAAUCAAUUACUAGUCAAGCAUCAAAUUGCAUGUUAUAUACCUAUCAUGUAUCUAUGGAAUUUCUUUUGCAGCAGUAGCAGGGUGCAAAUUAGUUUAUCCUAAAAAAAUAAAGAAAAGGCUAUUUACACAAAUAGUUAAUCCAAAUGAACCCUUCACUCAUCUGCAACAGCCAGAUUGUACUUUCUUGCCAAAGUAUGGGCAGUUUUGUCACCCAUAAUGCCAUCUAUCAUCCUAAACUUUUUGUAAUGCACUUUAAGAGUUUCAGCCUGC
This 9740-nucleotide long non-coding RNA is filed under the name Medicago truncatula (barrel medic). RNAcentral describes it as "long non-coding RNA (MTRU_LNC000233)". Lineage: Eukaryota; Viridiplantae; Streptophyta; Magnoliopsida; Fabales; Fabaceae. The record is from RNAcentral.